CGUCGUUUUGGCGUUAAAUUCAAUUUUUUUUUUUUCAUUUCUCUCUCAAUCGUUGAGACAGCCCUAACCCUUCAAGAGUGAGCCGACUCGAACGGUUCCUCUGACGCAGAGGAGGGUGAGCAACGACGACUCCGGAGGCGACAGCGGUUGCAGCUGGGCGAGGUGAGGCGGCUGUGAGGAAACACCUUUUUAACAUGAUAAAUGAUCUUCCAACAAUAUUUGAAGUUGUGACAGGGACGGCCAAGAAACAAGUGAAGGAGAAGUCAUCAGUCUCAAAUCACAGCAAUAGCAAAUCUAAGUCAAAUUCUAAGGUGCCCAACCAAGGUAAUUUGACAGUGGAACAUACUCUAUGCGGCCAUGAAAACCCUGUUUCUUUUCUCUCUAGGGUCUUGACGACUCCGUGAUAGCAACAAAAUGGAGCAUCUGCAUAUGGAUUGCUGUUUCUCAUAUCAACUACGAUUCAUCGUCAUCAAUUCAUUUCAUGAUCAAGCGUCGUCGUCGUUGAUCUCCGAGCAUGUUUCGUUCAAGUUACUGAUGCUAACUGGUUGAAACAAUCUUCUGAUGAUAUUCAUGUGAAA
Molecule: non-coding RNA, 578 nt
Organism: Camellia sinensis
Lineage: Eukaryota; Viridiplantae; Streptophyta; Magnoliopsida; Ericales; Theaceae
Source: RefSeq, a predicted model, not a curated record